GGGUUUUCGGACCCUAGCGGCGGACGGGUGAGUAACACGUAGGCAACCUGCCUGUAAGACUGGGAUAACAUAGGGAAACUUAUGCUAAUACCGGAUAGGGUUUUGCUUCGCAUGAAGCGAAACGGAAAGAUGGCGCAAGCUAUCACUUGCAGAUGGGCCUGCGGCGCAUUAGCUAGUUGGUGAGGUAAAGGCUCACCAAGGCGACGAUGCGUAGCCGACCUGAGAGGGUGACCGGCCACACUGGGACUGAGACACGGCCCAGACUCCUACGGGAGGCAGCAGUAGGGAAUUUUCCACAAUGGACGAAAGUCUGAUGGAGCAACGCCGCGUGAACGAUGAAGGCUUUCGGGUCGUAAAGUUCUGUUGUUAGGGAAGAAACAGUGCCAUUUAAAUAAGAUGGCGCCUUGACGGUACCUAACGAGAAAGCCACGGCUA
RNAcentral lists this ribosomal RNA (435 nucleotides) under bacterium gwi28. RNAcentral's name for it is "bacterial SSU rRNA". It matches the Rfam family "Bacterial small subunit ribosomal RNA", at positions 74 to 499 of the family's 1533-position model. The record is from RNAcentral.